AAAUUGAAGAGUUUGAUCAUGGCUCAGAUUGAACGCUGGCGGCAGGCCUAACACAUGCAAGUCGAACGGUAACAGGAAGCAGCUUGCUGCUUCGCUGACGAGUGGCGGACGGGUGAGUAAUGUCUGGGAAACUGCCUGAUGAAGGGGGAUAACUACUGGAAACGGUGGCUAAUACCGCAUAACGUCGCAAGACCAAAGAGGGGGACCUUCGGGCCUCUUGCCAUCAGAUGUGCCCAGAUGGGAUUAGCU
RNAcentral lists this ribosomal RNA (249 nucleotides) under Salmonella enterica. RNAcentral describes it as "partial 16S ribosomal RNA". It matches the Rfam family "Bacterial small subunit ribosomal RNA", at positions 1 to 246 of the family's 1533-position model. The record is from RNAcentral. Lineage: Bacteria; Pseudomonadati; Pseudomonadota; Gammaproteobacteria; Enterobacterales; Enterobacteriaceae.